GAUCUCAUUACAAAAAAUGGUAAGUACUACGUGAGGUGAUGCAAUCUGAAAAGCCUACAUACUGUAUGAUUUCAGCUAUAUGACAUUUUGGAAAAAAGCAAAACUAGAGACAGUAAAAAUACCAGUGAUUGCUCGGGGUUUGUGGGGUGGAGGAAGGGAUGAACAGGUGGAACAGAGGACUUCCCGUCUCUACCAAAAAUACAAAAAAUUAGUCGGGCAUGGUGGCGGGUGCCUGUAGUCCCAGCUACUUGGG
RNAcentral lists this long non-coding RNA (253 nucleotides) under Pan troglodytes (chimpanzee). RNAcentral's name for it is "long non-coding RNA NONPTRT009955". Lineage: Eukaryota; Metazoa; Chordata; Mammalia; Primates; Hominidae. The record is from RNAcentral.